GUAAAAUAAAAAUAUAAAAUUGACCGUCUGCUUUUGCUGUUUGUUAUUUCCCCUUUUCCGUUUUGUUAGUAAUUUUUCUUUUUGUUUG
Molecule: non-coding RNA, 88 nt
Filed under: Foraminifera environmental sample
Lineage: Eukaryota; Foraminifera
Source: RNAcentral